This 163-nucleotide ribosomal RNA is filed under the name Hypocreales sp. RNAcentral's name for it is "partial large subunit ribosomal RNA". It matches the Rfam family "Eukaryotic large subunit ribosomal RNA", at positions 99 to 261 of the family's 3401-position model. Lineage: Eukaryota; Fungi; Ascomycota; Sordariomycetes; Hypocreales. The record is from RNAcentral.
CGGCAACAGCUCAAAUUUGAAAUCUGGCCUCUUUCGGGGUCCGAGUUGUAAUUUGUAGAGGAUGCUUUUGACAAGGUGCCUUCCGAGUUCCCUGGAACGGGACGCCAUAGAGGGUGAGAGCCCCGUCUGGUCGGAUACCGCGUCUCUGUAAAGCUCCUUCGAC